Lagopus muta (rock ptarmigan) is the source of this 3916-nucleotide long non-coding RNA. RefSeq lists it as uncharacterized. Lineage: Eukaryota; Metazoa; Chordata; Aves; Galliformes; Phasianidae. The record is from RefSeq and is a predicted model, not a curated record. The transcript has 2 exons.
CUGGCUACCAGUGGGGAAGGAUCUCAUCCGGAGACUGUCUCUGCUGGUGUUUUGUGGUGAGCCCAGCAUAAGGAAAAGAAGUCUGUGGGAAGAGAACACUUUUGGUAAUUGGGCCACACCUGCAAUGAGAAGCUGAGGGACACCUAUGCUGGAAGAAAGCUGAAUCCCUGAUGAUAACAUUGAUCUAAUAACAGGUGUCAGAGAUACAACAGGGAGUCCCAGAUAUGUAGGGACCAACUGUUAGAUAAAGGACCUCUACAUCACUAGCUGCAUAAAGGGGCCUUGAAGCAUUAAAAAAGGGUCUGGAUAUAACCAGCAAUUUAGACCAUGAGCAGCAUGGGGCAUUUUCAGUCUCUCAAGUGCUUUAGAAGAACUAAUUCUCAUUAUUGUCUGGGAAAGAAGACUGCAUAAAUAGAGAGCCAGGAAGAUCAGCUUUAUUGCCUAAACCCAGACAGAAAAUCUAUGUCAAAGCUAGUGCUGAAAAGCAUGAUUUAAAAUCCUGAUCCUGUCCCAGUUGCCCUUGUAGCUCUCAGAGUAUCCUCCUGAGCCACAUAGACACGAUCACUGUAAUUGCUGCUGCAUGUUGUCCUAAAACACAUGCAGCUUCUUUCUGGAUUCUGGAGAGAUAUCUACACAUGGAGAUCUAUUGGAGACUGAUUGGUCCCAAUCCUGCAGCUGAGUGCCUGCUCUAGUUUGUACCACAGCUGAGCACAGUGUAACUCAGCACUAUUGGGCAUACUUUCUCUUUUGCAGCUGUAGUAGAAGCUGGUUGAGGGCCGAUACCCAUGAAAAAUUUAGCUCCUCUGUGUUUCCCCAGACUUGCUAUAGACAGUGUUCAAAGGUUUGCUGAGCACUAGUACAUAAGCAAGAAGGGCCAGCACGCUCAUUCUUCAUCUUAAAGAAUAAAUAUGUUUGCAGUACAAAAGUAAUUGUGAUGUACAACUGCUUGCCAUCUGCAUAUUGUAACUGAUUCUUUCUUGGUUUAAAGAUCAGUGAUAUCUAAAGCCGUAUGUGGUUGUAACUUUGGGACAGUUAUUAAGAACAAAAAGACAGGGAGCCAAACUAUUAUCUGGUAUAUUUCAAAUUCGAAUUAAUGUACUCCUUAUGUACAGUGAUGGCACCACAAACCAGUGUAUAGUCCUGCAACCCAAGAGAAAUGUUCACCAUUAUAUUAAAAUAUUACACCUACUAGGCAGUGUCUAAUUUGAUCAAGAAGAGUUGACAUGGAUCAGAAACAAAGUACUUGUUUUGUAGCAGCACUUUGAUUCAAAAAGCAUUUAUAAUCCCUGUUAUGCUAGAUAACCACUGUAAAAUUAAAACACUUGUCCUUGUAACGCUAGGUAAGAGACUCAUUGGCAUGUUCACAAGCUGAGGCUUCUGCUUGUUUUUGUUGGAAGCUGCCACGUAGAAGUAAUCGUGUAAUAAUGUACAUCCAGCUAGAGUAUACAGGAAAUAAGAGAAAACAAUAUGCAACUUCAACUGUAACCUUCAAAUAUAGCAAUAGCAGGAACCCCGCUAACUGUGACAGAUAGGUAAACUGUAUGCUUUUCCCAGUGGGCUAUAUGCUUUUUGUGCAUAAUAUCAAAUGUUCCAUUUUUAAGUCCAGGCAUCUGAUCUCAAGCUUUCUUACUAGAUUUGCAAAAGGCUGUCACCUUGACUGUACAUUCUGGGGACAGGAUUGGCAUAAGAAUUGCUGAAGACAGGCAAGCAACAUCUCCCAUGGAGCCAUAAAGAAAUCUUUCCAUCAGCAGGCUGAGUAGCUCUGGUUGGUAACCUGUCCAUGCUCCAACAAAGACACCCAGUGGGUUUUGUAUCUACAACUCUGUCAUGCGGCGUAUUGCAAGCUACUGACUGCAGUGAUAAAAAUGGUUCCCUCAGCUGAUUCAGCCUGCCCUGGUUUUGGAAGCCAUACUCGUACUGCUGUGAGCUUUUGUGAUCCUUCCCAUACCACCCUUGGAGGGGAGCCACAUUUACUGUGGUAAGCACCUGCUGUUUGAAGGCCUCAGAGGAGCUUAAGUUGCACUGUUUGAAUCUCCAUAGCUGUGUGGGAAAGUAACUUUCAGCAGGCAACAGGGUGAAAGAGAAUCGGUUUCUGUAGGCACUGAGGAAUAAAAGAGUUCAAGAAGAUUGAUUUCAGGAUAACGAUUAGAGGACAAAAGCAGAGGUCAGAGAAAAGGCCAAGCGUGAAAGCCAGAGAAUCAGAAGAUGAGAGAGAAGGAAAUUAAAAAAAAUAUAGCAAGCACUUUAAUGAUCUCAGUAGUGAAUUUCAAAGGAGGAGAAGGAUCAGACUUCCUUCAGUUUUGGGUCAUUGCUGGAGGACUUCACUCAGAUCCUCAGAUGAUGAAUUUUCCAUCUUGACAUCUAACAAGUGACUGUGCAGGCUGACUGGCAAAUGUUUUGCUUUUUUUUCCGUAGAUUCAUCUGCCGUUGGGAUUUUUCUGGCACCAUUUUUUUGUGUAGAAAUUGAAAUAGAAGUGAUAAGACACAAUAAAGCAGAUCUCUGCUUUUCUCUCUUCCCUGCUCUUCCCAUAUCAGAAGUAAUUUGGGUUCUGUAUGGGGAAUAUGUAUAUUCACAAUAGUAAAUAAUAAAUAGGAUUGGGGAAAGGGAAAAACAGUCAGUCACACAGAGACAGGAAAAGAGACAUGAAAAGAACAGAACACGCUCUCUGGAGGAGAGUAUCCUAAAAAUAGAGGACAUCAGAAAAAAAAGAAAUGAAGCAAUAUAGUUGUUUUUGCAUGACCAAAGCAGAACUAACGAGGCAUAUUUCUAAAUGACUAAAGAAGCUUGUUAGAAGCCUUUGGCAAGACUAACUUUUUGUGAGUCAGAUUAGCAUACUGAAAAUGUAUAAUAAUGUUCCCAAAAGGAGAUUAAAAUUUCUAGUUUUGCAGAAAUUUGGUUUUUUUUCAGCGUUGUGAUCAGCUGCAAAUUGUUGCCACAUUGCGCCAGAAGUUUAUUAAUUGUGAAGCUGCAUAACUUAUAAAUGCCUUCUAGUGGUAUAUUUAGCUCAAAUGUAAUUUGUAAAAUCUUCAUUUUGCUUAGCAAAAGUAGUGCUUAUGACACGGUCAUGAAAUGUUUUUAUGCAGAGAGCUCAGAACAGUCCACAAAGUGCUCUAAUGCACACUGAUCUGGAUAAGCCAUGCUAUUAAAAAGUUCUUUAGGCUUUGAUACAGCUGAGUUUCAAAGUGGAUGGUAAAUAUCAGUGAGUCUAUGCAUAUGGGUAUGCGUACAUUUGCAGACAGAAAGGAAAAAUACAGGUACAUACACAGAGGGCAAAAGAAAAUGGUAUAGAACCUUAGUAAUGGAGUUGUAUCUGUUGAGUUACUGUGCUAUAUUCCAAAAAUGCUAAGCACUGCUUCUAAUAAACAAAUGCUCUUUGGAUAAAAAAUGCAUUAAACUUCUAAAACCUCUUAGGAGAUGCCUGCAUCUCCCCCACUGGCAGCUGUGUCGUCACAGUUUAAGCCAAUGGGGGAUCAAGAAACUAAUGAGGACGUCUUUUGAUGGAAGUGACAGAGCUGAACAUCCAUGUCGACAAAAGCCUGAGGCGGAUGCCUGCCUGAGCACACAGAAUGCAUCUACUUCAAAAACAAGGCAUAGAAUGAGCAAGCUAAAUCAUACAUUACUUCAAAACUGGCCUUUGUUACCAACAUUUUUAUUUGACUCCUUUCUCCUUCUCUCCUCCCUUUCACCAUGUAUUGUGUUUAUUUAGAUGGAGGACUCACAUCAGUGAAUAGUUUCACCAUAUUUAACAAUAAGCGGUAUCAUGAAGGGAAUGGCAACUAUUUUUUGCUUGUCUAACAGCCUAACAUCUUCCCUACUUGUCAUGUUGAAGAUCUCAAAUGCUAAAUAACCGUUUGUAUAAAAAAAUCCUACUAUAUAUAAAUCAGAGGGUGAAGAGUGCUUAGAUAGGACCUUGAA